This 877-nucleotide ribosomal RNA is filed under the name uncultured Nitrososphaerota archaeon. Its description in RNAcentral is "bacterial SSU rRNA". It matches the Rfam family "Archaeal small subunit ribosomal RNA", at positions 1 to 884 of the family's 1478-position model. The record is from RNAcentral. Lineage: Archaea; Thermoproteati; Nitrososphaerota.
UUCCGGUUGAUCCUGCCGGACCUGACUGCUAUCGGAUUGAUACUAAGCCAUGCGAGUCAUUGUAGCAAUACAAGGCAUACGGCUCAGUAACGCGUAGUCAACCUACCCUAUGGACGGAAAUAACCUCGGGAAACUGAGAAUAAUAUCCGAUAGAACAUUAUGCCUGGAAUGGUUUAUGUUCCAAAUGAUUUAUCGUCGUAGGAUGGGACUGCGGCCUAUCAGUUUGUUGGUGAGGUAAUGGCCCACCAAGACUAUUACAGGUACGGGCUCUGAGAGGAGUAGCCCGGAGAUGGGUACUGAGACACGGACCCAGGCCCUAUGGGGCGCAGCAGGCGAGAAAACUUUGCAAUGUGCGAAAGCACGACAAGGUUAAUCCGAGUGAUUUCUGCUAAAGAAAUCUUUUGUUAGUCCUAGAAACACUAACGAAUAAGGGGUGGGCAAGUUCUGGUGUCAGCCGCCGCGGUAAAACCAGCACCUCAAGUGGUCAGGAUGAUUAUUGGGCCUAAAGCAUCCGUAGCCGGCUCUGUAAGUCCUCGGUUAAAUCUGUACGCUUAACGUACAGGCUGCCGGGAAUACUGCAUAGCUAGGGAGUGGGAGAGGUAGACGGUACUCGGUAGGAAAGGGGUAAAAUCCUUUGAUCUAUUGAUGACCACCUGUGGCGAAGGCGGUCUACCAGAACACGUCCGACGGUGAGGGAUGAAAGCUGGGGGAGCAAACCGGAUUAGAUACCCGGGUAGUCCCAGCUGUAAACUAUGCAAACUCAGUGAUGCAUUGGCUUGUGGCCAAUGCAGUGCUGCAGGGAAGCCGUUAAGUUUGCCGCCUGGGAAGUACGUACGCAAGUAUGAAACUUAAAGGAAUUGGCGGGGGAGCACCACAA